Carassius gibelio (silver crucian carp) is the source of this 2261-nucleotide RNA transcript. It is a transcript of the gene named E3 SUMO-protein ligase ZBED1, with no coding region annotated. Lineage: Eukaryota; Metazoa; Chordata; Actinopteri; Cypriniformes; Cyprinidae. The transcript is spliced from 3 exons. The record is from RefSeq and is a predicted model, not a curated record.
GUCACAUGCAGUUUUGCGCGGGCAGCGGCCAGAUGUGCUUGUUACCUGCACCAGAACAGUGGAUGCGAGUCACGCAACAUUCGAGUUAGAAACAAACAGAAACUAAACAGAAAAGAAUGAGUGAAGCAGAGCAAUGUGCAAGUAAGUCUGUUAACAACCCGGACAAUUUAGUACCUAAAAAAGGAUCUUAUUCCGAAGUGUGGAUUUACUUCGGUUUCAAACCAGAUGAUGAUACUCAGCAAACCAUAUACUGCAAGGAAUGUUCAGCAAUUGUUUCUGCACCAAAGGGUAACACCACAAAUUUGUUUAAUCACCUGAAACGUAAUCAUAUACAACAGUAUGAAAUGGUACGGAAAAACAAAGCCGCUCAAUCACAAAGUAGGCCUACCUGCAGCCAGACAAAGCAAACGUCAAUUCAAGCAACAUUAUUCAAUGCAACACAGUACCCAACAACCUCCCCCAGACACAAAGAAAUAACGGACGCAAUCGCGUUUCACCUGGCUAAAGAUAUGGCUCCCGUGACUACCGUUGCAAAAGACGGGUUUAAAAAACUCAUCCAAACCCUUGAUAAGCGCUAUUGCGUGCCCUCUCGUAAUUAUUUUUCGCACGUUGCAAUCCCUGCUCUGUACAACAAAUGUCGCGAAACAGUUGAGACAGAAUUGCGAGACGUACACAACUUUGCAGCAACUUCAGAUUUAUGGACCAGCAGAGCAAUGGAACCAUACAUGAGCAUGACGAUCCAUUUCAUUACUGAUGAUUUUGACAUGAAAAGUCGCUGCCUAAAAACUGGGUUUUUCCCUGAGGACCACACUGGUGAAGCUUUGGCGCAAGGAUUAAAGGAUGCUCUCAUAAACUGGAAGUUAGAGGAGGAGAAUCUUGUGUGCAUCACUACAGACAACGGAAGCAACAUUGUAAAAGCAACAUCCAUAAAUGACUGGAUGCGACUUCAGUGUUUUGGCCAUAGGCUUCAUCUUGCAAUAGAGAAUGCAAUGAAGGACCCACGAAUUGAACGUGCUAUGGGUUUGUGCAAAAAGCUUGUGGGGUGUUUCAGCUACAGUUGGAGGAGGAAGAGGGAGCUUUCCGAGGCACAAAAACAACUCUGUUUACCAGACCACAAGCUCAAGACGGAGUGUUCCACAAGGUGGGGAUCUAGGCAAGCUAUGGUGAGGAGAAUACUUGAGCAGCAAGCUGCCAUCACCCAUGUCCUGUCUUCUGACCGCAAGGCUAGGCACCUCUUGCCAACAUGGCAAGACCUGGAGGUCCUGGAGGCUGUGGACAAGACUCUUACCCCAUUAGCAGACUUCACAGAUGCUCUUUCAGGAGAGCAGUAUGUCAGUGUCUCUUCUGUGAAACCUGCUCUCCACCUUUUCCAGUCUUCUGUUUUGGCUCUUAAGGAAGAUGAAUCUGACCUUAUUUGCACAAUCAAAUCAAAGAUUGUGGGGUAUCUGGAGGAAAAAAAUUAAUGACCAAAAAACACAAGACCUCCUUGACAUAGCCACAACCCUCGACCCCAGGUUUAAGAUGACUUACGUCAAUGAAGAUAACAAAACUGCUGUCCAAAACAAACUACAAGAUGAGAUGUCAAAGCUAAAAACAGUUGAGGAAAGUCUCCCUAUUACAACUAGCAGUAGCAGUUCUGCAAAGAAGACUCGAAAGACCUUAGGGAGCUUCUUCAAAGCAGCACAAAGCAACACAGGGCCAACAGAUCCAGCCUCACAGCAACAACAAUCCGUCAGCAUGGAGCUACAGUCUUACCUGUUCUUAAGCAACGCUGACAGUGAAGUUGAUCCAUUAGUAUGGUGGAAGGCUCACAAGGAGCAGUAUCCAAGAUUGUCUUCACUGGCCAGGAAAUACCUUUGCAUUCCUGCAACCAGUUCCCCUUCUGAAAGGGUUUUCAGCACAGGAGGCAACAUUGUCUCUUGUCGCCGUUCUGCACUGAAGCCACAAAAUGUUGAUAGGCUAGUGUUUCUAGCAAAGAAUCUUUAAAUUGCUUUACUCUGACCUAAUACCUUUGUAUAUAUUUUUUUAUGUUUAAUGGUGAUUUUUUUCUUUACAUUAUUACAUUAUUUUACAUUACUUUUCUUUAAAUUUAAAGCAAAGAGUAUUGUGUCUUACUUUACUGCUACUUUACUGCUGUUUGAUAACCUAUUGUUCAGGGGUAAAUCUUUAAAAUAAAAAAAAGUUCUCCAGAAUCGUGAGAGAAUCGUGAACUUUAUUCUAAGCAAAAAAAUCGUGAUUCUCAUUUUAUCUAGAAUCGUGCA